RNAcentral lists this ribosomal RNA (2902 nucleotides) under Lactococcus garvieae UNIUD074. RNAcentral describes it as "bacterial LSU rRNA". It matches the Rfam family "Bacterial large subunit ribosomal RNA". The record is from RNAcentral. Lineage: Bacteria; Bacillati; Bacillota; Bacilli; Lactobacillales; Streptococcaceae.
CAAAGUUAAUAAGGGCGCACGGUGGAUGCCUUGGCAUUAAGAGCCGAAGAAGGACGUGACUAACGACGAUAUUCUAGGGGGAGCAGUAAGUACGCAUUGAUCCCUAGGUCUCCGAAUGGGGAAACCCACUAUGUUAUGCAUAGUAUCCGUAAGUGAAUACAUAGCUUACGCGAAGGUAACGCAGAGAACUGAAACAUCUAAGUACCUGCAGGAAGAGAAAGUAAAAACGAUUUCCUAAGUAGCGGCGAGCGAACGGGAAACAGGCCAAACCAAGAAGCUUGCUUCUUGGGGUUGUAGGACUGCAACGUGGACUUAAAGUCUAUAGAAGAAUUACCUGGGAAGGUAAGCCAAAGAGAGUAAUAGCCUCGUAUUUGAAAUAGACUUUAUACCUAGCAGUAUCCUGAGUAGGGCUGGACACGCGAAAUCCAGUUUGAAUCCGGGAGGACCAUCUCCCAAGCCUAAAUACUCCUUAAUGACCGAUAGUGAACCAGUACCGUGAGGGAAAGGUGAAAAGAACCCCGGGAGGGGAGUGAAAUAGCACCUGAAACCGUGUGCCUACAAGAAGUUCGAGCCCGUCAAUGGGUGAGAGCGUGCCUUUUUGAGAAUGAACCGGCGAGUUACGUUAUGAUGCGAGGUUAAGCUGAAGAGGCGGAGCCGUAGCGAAAGCGAGUCUGAAUAGGGCGCUUUAGUAUCAUGAUGUAGACCCGAAACCUAGUGACCUAUCCAUGAGCAGGUUGAAGGUGCGGUAAGACGCACUGGAGGACCGAACCAGGACACGUUGAAAAGUGUUUGGAUGACUUGUGGAUAGCGGAGAAAUUCCAAACGAACUGGGAGAUAGCUGGUUCUCUCCGAAAUAGCUUUAGGGCUAGCGUCGCAAUUUAAGUGUAUUGGAGGUAGAGCACUGUUUGGAUGAGGGGCCCAUCUCGGGUUACCAAUUUCAGAUAAACUCCGAAUGCUAAUACACAUGUGCGGCAGUCAGACUGCGAGUGCUAAGAUCCGUAGUCGAAAGGGAAACAGCCCAGACCACCAGCUAAGGUCCCAAAAUAUAUGUUAAGUGGAAAAGGAUGUGGGGUUGCACAGACAACUAGGAAGUUAGCUCAGAAGCAGCUAUCAUUCAAAGAGUGCGUAAUAGCUCACUAGUCGAGUGACCCUGCGCCGAAAAUGUACCGGGGCUAAACAUAUUACCGAAGCUGUGGAUUUAAUAUUAAUUAAAUGGUAGGAGAGCGUUGUAAUCAGCGAUGAAGGUAUACCGUGAGGGGUGCUGGAGCGAUUACAAGUGAGAAUGCCGGUAUGAGUAGCGCAAGAUAAGUGAGAAUCUUAUCCACCGUAAGACUAAGGUUUCCAGGGGAAGGCUCGUCCGCCCUGGGUUAGUCGGGACCUAAGGCGAGGCCGAAAGGCGUAGUCGAUGGACAACAGGUUGAUAUUCCUGUACUAGUAUUGUUAGUGAUGGAGGGACGCAGUAGGCUAAAGGGAGCCAGUUAAUGGAUUCUGGUCUAAGCAGUGAGGUGUGGAAUGUGUCAAAUGCAUUUUCCUUUAACAUUGAGCUGUGAUGGGGAAGCAACUACGGUUGCGAAGCCCUUGAUGUCACACUGCCAAGAAAAUCUUCUAGCGUUUAAUUCAAUACUACCCGUACCGCAAACCGACACAGGUAGUCGAGGCGAGUAGCCUCAGGUGAUCGAGAGAACUCUCGUUAAGGAACUCGGCAAAAUGACCCCGUAACUUCGGGAGAAGGGGUGCUGUAGAAAUACAGCCGCAGUGAAAAGAUCCAAGCAACUGUUUAUCAAAAACACAGCUCUCUGCUAAACCGCAAGGUGAUGUAUAGGGGGUGACGCCUGCCCGGUGCUGGAAGGUUAAGAGGAGGGGUUAGACAUUAGUCGAAGCUCUGAAUUGAAGCCCCAGUAAACGGCGGCCGUAACUAUAACGGUCCUAAGGUAGCGAAAUUCCUUGUCGGGUAAGUUCCGACCCGCACGAAAGGCGUAAUGAUUUGGAUACUGUCUCAACGAGAGACUCGGUGAAAUUUUAGUACCUGUGAAGAUGCAGGUUACCCGCGACAGGACGGAAAGACCCCAUGGAGCUUUACUGCAGAUUGAUAUUGAGUACCUGUGAAGCAUGUACAGGAUAGGUAGGAGACUUUGACCUUGGGACGCUAGUUUCAAGUGAGUCGCUGUUGGGAUACUACCCUUGCUUCAUGGUUGCUCUAACCCACACGCAUAAUCGGCGUGGGAGACAGUGUCUGUCGGGCAGUUUGACUGGGGCGGUCGCCUCCUAAAGAGUAACGGAGGCGCCCAAAGGUUCCCUCAACAUGGUUGGAAAUCAUGUGUAGAGUGUAAAGGUAUAAGGGAGCUUGACUGCGAGAGCUACAACUCGAGCAGGUAGGAAACUAGGGCUUAGUGAUCCGGUGGUACCGCAUGGAAGGGCCAUCGCUCAACGGAUAAAAGCUACCCUGGGGAUAACAGGCUUAUCUCCCCCAAGAGUUCACAUCGACGGGGAGGUUUGGCACCUCGAUGUCGGCUCGUCGCAUCCUGGGGCUGUAGUCGGUCCCAAGGGUUGGGCUGUUCGCCCAUUAAAGCGGCACGCGAGCUGGGUUCAGAACGUCGUGAGACAGUUCGGUCCCUAUCCGUCGCGGGCGUAGGAAAUUUGAGAGGAUCUGCCCUUAGUACGAGAGGACCGGGGUGGACUUACCGCUGGUGUACCAGUUGUUCCGCCAGGAGCACCGCUGGGUAGCUAUGUAGGGAAGGGAUAAGCGCUGAAAGCAUCUAAGUGCGUAGCCCACCUCAAGAUGAGAUUUCCCAUUCUUUAUGAAUUAAGAGCCCUGAGAGAUGAUCAGGUUGAUAGGCUGGAAGUGGAAGUCCUGGCGAGGGAUGGAGCGGACCUAGAACUAAUAGCUCGAGGACUUUACCAA